Molecule: ribosomal RNA, 480 nt
Filed under: uncultured bacterium
Lineage: Bacteria
Description: partial 16S ribosomal RNA
Rfam family: Bacterial small subunit ribosomal RNA
Source: RNAcentral
GACGAACGCUGGCGGCGUGCUUAACACAUGCAAGUCGAACGAUGAAGAAAAGCAUUGAAGCUUCGGCAGAAAUUCAUUUCGGUUUAGUGGCGGACGGGUGAGUAACGCGUGAGCAACCUACCUCUUACAAAGGGAUAGCCUCGGGAAACCGGGAUUAAUACCAUAUAACAUUGCGACGAAGCAUUUCGAUGCAAUCAAAGCUACGGCGGUAAGAGCUGGGCUCGCGUCCCAUUAACCAGAUGGUGAGGUAACGGCUCACCAUAGUAACGAUGGGUAACCGGGCUGGGAGGGUGACCGGUCACACUGGAACUGAGACACGGUCCAGACUCCUACGGGAGGCAGCAGUGGGGAAUAUUGCACAAUGGAGGGAAAUCUGAUGCAGCGACGCCGCGUGAGAGAUGAAGGAAUUCGUUUCGUAAAACUCUGUUCUAUGGGAAGAAAAGGACGGUACCAUAGGAGAAAGCUCCGGCUAAAUACGUG